AGAGUUUGAUCCUGGCUCAGGACGAACGCUGGCGGCGUGCUUAAUACAUGCAAGUCGAACGCUCUCGACCUUCGGGUCACUGAGAGAGUGGCGAACGGGUGCGUAACACGUGAGAAACCUACCCCGAAGACGGGAAUAGCCCGAGGAAACUCGGAUUAAUACCCGAUACCUCCACACUGUCGCAUGACAGAGUGAAGAAAGUUCAGGCGCUUCGGGAGGGUCUCGCGGCCUAUCAGCUUGUUGGUGAGGUAACGGCUCACCAAGGCAUCGACGGGUAGCUGGUCUGAGAGGAUGAUCAGCCACACUGGGACUGAGACACGGCCCAGACUCCUACGGGAGGCAGCAGUAGGGAAUCUUGCGCAAUGGGCGAAAGCCUGACGCAGCAACGCCGCGUGGGGGAUGAAUGCCUUCGGGUUGUAAACCCCUUUCAGCAGGGACGAAAUUGACGGUACCUGCAGAAGAAGGUCCGGCCAACUACGUGCCAGCAGCCGCGGUAAUACGUAGGGACCGAGCGUUGUCCGGAAUUAUUGGGCGUAAAGAGCUCGUAGGCGGUUCAGUAAGUCGGGUGUGAAAACUCAAGGCUCAACCUUGAGACGCCACUCGAUACUGCUGUGACUUGAGUCCGGUAGAGGAGUGUGGAAUUCCUGGUGUAGCGGUGAAAUGCGCAGAUAUCAGGAGGAACACCAGCGGCGAAGGCGGCACUCUGGGCCGGUACUGACGCUGAGGAGCGAAAGCAUGGGGAGCAAACAGGAUUAGAUACCCUGGUAGUCCAUGCCGUAAACGUUGGGCACUAGGUAUGGGACCAUAUCAACGGGUUCCGUGCCGUAGCUAACGCAUUAAGUGCCCCGCCUGGGGAGUACGGC
RNAcentral lists this ribosomal RNA (863 nucleotides) under marine metagenome. Its description in RNAcentral is "bacterial SSU rRNA". It matches the Rfam family "Bacterial small subunit ribosomal RNA", at positions 8 to 886 of the family's 1533-position model. The record is from RNAcentral.